This is a long non-coding RNA of Belonocnema kinseyi, 1985 nucleotides long. RefSeq lists it as uncharacterized. The record is from RefSeq and is a predicted model, not a curated record. The transcript is spliced from 4 exons. NCBI's taxonomy places the organism in Eukaryota, Metazoa, Arthropoda, Insecta, Hymenoptera, Cynipidae.
GAAGAGCAGGAGCCUCGACAGGAUGGAGGAAGGCAAUUUCAUGGCGAAGAGGUGGGCGAUGAUGACGAGGAGAAGGACUUUGUAGAUUAUGAAGAGAACGAUGACAAUGAAAUAGUUGCAGAUGAAGAGUAUUCGAGUGAAGAAGUAGAGGAAACCGAAAAUGAAGAAUACAGUGAUACGAUUGAUAAAGAAGUAAGUGAUGCAGGAAAUGAAAAUGAUUGACGGGGUGAAGGGAAUCAAGAGGCAAAUAGGGAGUGAUGACGAGGAAAGAGAAAACAACUUAACGACGGACGAAGAGCAGAAGGGACAGGAAGAGGUCGCAGAGCGAACAUUGUUCCAAGGCUUUGGAAAUAAUUGAUCAAUUAAAAUGGAUAAGCAAAUCUUUUCGGCACAUCAAUAUUUCCACAAAAAAGCAGAAUAUUUGGAAAGUGCUUGCGCUACAAAUUUACUAGGGUUAAAAUAAAUCCUGAUGCAAUGGAGAACAUAUACGACGGGCACAAAUACGAAGAACUAAGUGUACUCUUGUUUUUCGUUUGAGGCUUUAAAUAGAAAAAUCCUGAAUUCUAUCACAAGUCCGUACCGCAGAGCCAAUAGCUGAUACUGUAAAUAGAAAAUUCUGCAACUGUAUUGCGUAUUGCCGAACUAGAUUUUGGUUUAUAUUUAACAUUUUAUCAUACACCGAUAUAGAUGAUACAAUUGCUGGUAUCAUCGCAAGACUAAUGAAGGAUAGAGGAAGUGCAUAUGAAACAGUUUACAUGAGACAUUUCACGCCUUCUGAUCAAACAGCAUUUUCUUUAUAUAACAACAUAAUAGCACCAGGAAUGACAAUAAAAGCACCAGGAAAUGUUUGUGCAGUCCCCUUAUGUAACUCCUGGAAGACCGACUAAGAACUGUAAUGAUCUGCUCGUUCGGUGAAAGGCUGAAAGUCUAAUAAAUGAAAAAUGAAUUUAUCUCAGGCGAAUUAGGAACCGCUGACCUUCCAGGGACGGCAUCAUCACAGAGACAUUGAAGAAUUUUCCUUCCGGAUGGCUUCAGCAAUAAGAGUUAUUGUUUUCUGCGCUGGUCGGGUGUCGAUCCCAACAUUUUCCAUUUGUGAGUCCGUCAAUUCAGCAAGUAUCUCUCAUGACGUAACCCAGAGAGCGGGAGAUGUCGUUGAACCUUAACAUAGGGGAGCUGCCGUGUGAAGUAGAUAUCCGGAAUUUAAUGCGGAGCCAACCCUGAACAGAAAUAAGUUUCUGCUGCCAGAUAAAAUAUUCUAACAGAUUCUAUGACCCCUUUUUGUCGAGCAGCUCUCCUGAACCACUGUACAAUGAAAAGAACCUCUUCAACUUCAUGAGGCUUUUCUGAGACUCCUGCCUUUCGGAGUAAAAAUACAAGCUAAUCUCUUAAAUGGCUUUAAACGAAAUUUGACCAAUUAAUUAGUCUGAUAAACAGAAGAGGCGGUGUGGAAAAUCUGUACAAAAUACCACGACAUAGUUCUUGAACGGCCCCUCAUAUAGUAUAAUAAUUUUUAUUUCCUUGCAUUCCUGUCGAAUUUUAUAAACGCACUACAAAGCAAAAGACGACACCGCAUAUCCCUUACAUGAUGAACACGGCGCUUUUAAUAAAAGCGAAAAAGAAGACAACAUCGAAAAUACAGACAAGGAUGACCUAGAAGAUGGAAAAAUAUACAGAAACUCUGCACAAUGUAAUUCGAGUGACUGGAGGUUUGAAAGAAGGAGCAAAACGUUAUUUGACGACUUCCCUCAGUGUUGUGAAAUUCUACGAAAAAGUAUGACCUUCUUGAAAAUACUGAGAGUACAGCCCGUGUAAUUCGAAUUGACUGAAACAAGUACAAGAAUAUUUCAAUGGGUGCUGUCGCACCUUCUGUCUCUGAAAGUUAUUUCAUCGUACAACAUUUGCCUGAAGGACAAAAUGAUUCGUUAUAAAUACAUUAUAUCUGAACCCUCAACAGUAAAGAUGGUCUUCACAAAAUUACCUACAUU